AGCUUGAUCUAACAGGUUGGGGGGGGUGAGACAAGAACGAAGCAACGUCAGCAGUAGCUGGAACAGUAUUAAUCCAGACACCACGCUCGCUACAUCUCUCCAGCCACCACCCACCACCGACCCCUCGAGUGUACGCAGCCCAGUGUCCGUCUGUGUCUUGUCGUGGGCGUGACGUUCAGCAGCGGCAGGAACAGCAACGGGAAGCUUGAUCUACGUGGGUCUUCGUGCGGCGAGGUGACGUGCCGCUGCUGUGAGAUUAUCGGACCACACCACAGCACAGCACAGCACAGAGGAGGAGAGGCGUUGACGAUCCAAAGGCCUGACUCCACAGCGGUAAUGAGCCUCGUCUACCUUGCACUUUGACGGACAACGCUCACUACCAACACUUCUAGAAGCCUCCGCCACCGCCGUAAGAUUGCAUCGCGCACGGUCUACUCUUAACGACCGCCACCGCCGCUGCCGCCGUUGAGGGAGACUGACUGGCUGGAUGAGUGGGUGAUAGAGGCGAGGCAGGUGUGGUGAGGCGGAGGAUUGGAGACGAGAACCUACAGAUGACGGCAGACACGGAAGAUUCCACUAACCAGGAGUUGGUGAUCCGAAGCCGUGACUGCAGCGAUCCCGUGCGUCCUGCACCAUCAAGGAAAGGACUCUCUGGCUUCGCACUGGGCCUACAUUGACCGUUGCCGCCGCCGCUGCUACCGCUACUCGGAGGGGCACUGCCUCGCAUUGGGCCUUCACUGCCGUCCCGCUAAUACACGUGUCGCCGUCGCAGCUACUGGCACUGAGGGACUUCGCCUCGCAGCGGCCUGGCAAACACCUGCUACACCACCACCACUAACUCCACCGCAGUCCAGAGAUUCAGCUUCGCAUAGCAGACAUCCUCCUAUUCAACGCUUGCUGCCACUACCACCUCAUUAUGGUGGUGUCACUGUACUUGGAUCUGUUGUCACUACUGAAUAAUAAUGUGUAAAAA
RNAcentral lists this long non-coding RNA (973 nucleotides) under Portunus trituberculatus (swimming crab). Its description in RNAcentral is "uncharacterized LOC123502250". Lineage: Eukaryota; Metazoa; Arthropoda; Malacostraca; Decapoda; Portunidae. The record is from RNAcentral.